ACGUAGGGUGCAAGCGUUGUCCGGAAUUAUUGGGCGUAAAGAGCUCGUAGGCGGUUUGUCACGUCGGAUGUGAAAACUCGGGGCUCAACUCCGAGCCUGCAUACGAUACGGGCAGACUUGAGUUCGGCAGGGGAGACUGGAAUUCCUGGUGUAGCGGUGAAAUGCGCAGAUAUCAGGAGGAACACCGGUGGCGAAGGCGGGUCUCUGGGCCGAUACUGACGCUGAGGAGCGAAAGCGUGGGGAGCGAACAGGAUUAGAUACCCUGGUAGUCCACGCCGUAAACGGUGGGUGCUAGGUGUGGGGAACAUUCCACGUUCUCCGUGCCGCAGCUAACGCAUUAAGCACCCCGCCUGGGGAGUACGGCCGCAAGGCUA
This 374-nucleotide ribosomal RNA is filed under the name uncultured bacterium. RNAcentral's name for it is "bacterial SSU rRNA". It matches the Rfam family "Bacterial small subunit ribosomal RNA", at positions 525 to 896 of the family's 1533-position model. The record is from RNAcentral.